This 534-nucleotide ribosomal RNA is filed under the name uncultured bacterium. Its description in RNAcentral is "bacterial SSU rRNA". It matches the Rfam family "Bacterial small subunit ribosomal RNA", at positions 9 to 526 of the family's 1533-position model. The record is from RNAcentral.
GAGUUUGAUCCUGGCUCAGGAUGAACGCUGGCGGCAUGCCUAAUACAUGCAAGUCGAACGAGAGGAAGGAAAGCUUGCUUUCCUGAAUCUAGUGGCGAACGGGUGAGUAACACGUAGGUAACCUGCCCAUGUGCCCGGGAUAACUUCUGGAAACGGAUGCUAAAACCGGAUAGGUAGCAGACAAGCAUUUGACUGCUAUUAAAGUGGCUUUGGCCAUGAACAUGGAUGGACCUGCGGUGCAUUAGCUGGUUGGUGAGGUAACGGCCCACCAAGGCGACGAUGCAUAGCCGGCCUGAGAGGGCGGACGGCCACAUUGGAACUGAGACACGGCCCAAACUCCUACGGGAGGCAGCAGUAGGGAAUUUUCGUCAAUGGGGGGAACCCUGAACGAGCAAUGCCGCGUGAGUGAGGAAGGUCUUCGGAUCGUAAAGCUCUGUUGUAAGAGAAAAACGGCACUCAUAGGGAAUGAUGAGUGAGUGAUGGUAUCUUACCAGAAAGUCACGGCUAACUACGUGCCAGCAGCCGCGGUAAUAC